This 233-nucleotide ribosomal RNA is filed under the name uncultured bacterium. RNAcentral describes it as "partial 16S ribosomal RNA". It matches the Rfam family "Bacterial small subunit ribosomal RNA", at positions 116 to 334 of the family's 1533-position model. The record is from RNAcentral.
CGUAGAUAAUCUACCCUAGAAUCUGGAAUAACCGGCCGAAAGGCUGGCUAAUACUGGAUAGAGCGACGGAAUCCGUAAUUGGGUUUUUCGGGAAAGGGAGCUCGCAAGAGCCUUCGUUCUAGGAUGAGUCUGCGUCCCAUCAGCUAGUUGGUGAGGUAACGGCUUACCAAGGCUUUGACGGGUAGCUGGUCUGAGAGGAUGAUCAGCCACACUGGAACUGAAACACGGUCCAG